UUUUAGUGGCGGACGGGUGAGUAACGCGUGGGUAACCUGCCUCACACUGGGGGAUAACACUUAGAAAUAGGUGCUAAUACCGCAUAAGCGCACGGGACUGCAUGGUCUUGUGUGAAAAACUCCGGUGGUGUGAGAUGGACCCGCGUCUGAUUAGCUGGUUGGCGGGGUAACGGCCCACCAAGGCGACGAUCAGUAGCCGGCCUGAGAGGGUGAACGGCCACAUUGGGACUGAGACACGGCCCAAACUCCUACGGAAGGCAGCAG
This 264-nucleotide ribosomal RNA is filed under the name uncultured bacterium. Its description in RNAcentral is "partial 16S ribosomal RNA". It matches the Rfam family "Bacterial small subunit ribosomal RNA", at positions 90 to 354 of the family's 1533-position model. The record is from RNAcentral.